UACGUAGGUGGCAAGCGUUGUCCGGAUUUAUUGGGUUUAAAGGGUGCGUAGGCGGCCCUGUAAGUCAGUGCUGAAAUAUCCCAGCUUAACUGGGAGGGUGGCAUUGAUACUGCGGGGCUAGAGUACAGAUGAGGUAGGCGGAAUUGACGGUGUAGCGGUGAAAUGCGCAGAUAUCAGGAGGAACACCGAUGGCGAAGGCAGGUCUCUGGGCCACUACUGACGCUGAGAAGCGAAAGCAUGGGGAGCGAACAGG
Molecule: ribosomal RNA, 253 nt
Filed under: uncultured bacterium
Lineage: Bacteria
Description: partial 16S ribosomal RNA
Rfam family: Bacterial small subunit ribosomal RNA
Source: RNAcentral